Molecule: long non-coding RNA, 273 nt
Organism: Vidua chalybeata
Lineage: Eukaryota; Metazoa; Chordata; Aves; Passeriformes; Viduidae
Exons: 3
Source: RefSeq, a predicted model, not a curated record
UAAGUUUCCUGAACAUUGAGGUGAGAAUGGGAAGAGACGUCUUUCACACCCUUAGCUGAAACACUCAGCAUACAGCUGAGACUCAGUUUCCUGACUGCCUGCUCACAAGGAAGAGCUUUCAGUUCCACAAAUGUCUCACCUCACUGCAGCGCAGAAUAGAUGAGUACUGGAUGCCAGUUCUGUCCUGGAAUUGAGAACACUAAGCAUCAUAGUUUGGGUCCUGUCUAAUCCUCUGGUGUGGAGUUAACCUGCUGAGACCUAAAAGCUCCUCUC